RNAcentral lists this ribosomal RNA (253 nucleotides) under uncultured bacterium. RNAcentral describes it as "partial 16S ribosomal RNA". It matches the Rfam family "Bacterial small subunit ribosomal RNA", at positions 524 to 776 of the family's 1533-position model. The record is from RNAcentral.
UACAGAGACUGCAAGCGUUAUUCGGAUUCACUGGGCGUAAAGGGUGCGUAGGCGGUUGGGUGUGUCAGAUGUGAAAUCCCGAGGCUUAACCUCGGAACUGCGUCUGAAACUACUCGACUAGAGUACUGGAGAGGGUAACGGAAUUCACGGUGUAGCAGUGAAAUGCGUAGAUAUCAAAAGGAACACCUGAGGUGAAGACGGGUUGCUGGGCUGACACUGACGCUGAGGCGCGAAAGCCAGGGGAGCAAACGGG